RNAcentral lists this ribosomal RNA (301 nucleotides) under uncultured bacterium. RNAcentral's name for it is "partial 16S ribosomal RNA". It matches the Rfam family "Bacterial small subunit ribosomal RNA", at positions 509 to 807 of the family's 1533-position model. The record is from RNAcentral.
CAGUAGCCGCGGGAAUACGUAGGUGGCAAGCGUUGUCCGGAAUUAUUGGGCGUAAAGGGCUCGCAGGCGGUUUCUUAAGUCUGAUGUGAAAGCUCCCGGCUCAACCGGGGAGGGUCAUUGGAAACUGGGAAACUUGAGUGCAGAAGAGGAGAGUGGAAUUCCACGUGUAGCGGUGAAAUGCGUAGAGAUGUGGAGGAACACCAGUGGCGAAGGCGACUCUCUGGUCUGUAACUGACGCUGAGGAGCGAAAGCGUGGGGAGCGAACAGGAUUAGAUACCCCAGUAGUCCCUGUCUCUUAUAC